AUGGGGACAGCGGGGGGGCGGCAAGCGUCAGGGGGGCAGCGUCACAGCGGGCAGCGGGGCCCAGAGGCGCAGUCCUCGAUCGAUGGGGGAGCAGGGGGUUCGCUCGGCUUGACACCCAGGCAAGGCGAGUCAGGCGACCAUUGGGAGGGGUUUAGAGGGAGGGCUGCCCAGCCCACAUAUUUCUCACACUCAAACAUGGAUGACCAUGACAAUACUAGCUUCCCACUCUCCGAUUUCAGUCUUGGGGAUAUGGAGUAUAGUCUCUACCCUAGUAGCACCGAUCACACUACCAUGCCCCCACCCGAGCAACAUGCCUAUACCAUGCCCCCACCGAGCAACAUGCCUAUACCGAUCAUCACACUCUUGAACCCCAUACCGAUCCGAGUGCCGAAGCCGAUGCAAAGAGGUCGUCGUAGAACCUCCGUGGUGUGGGAAUCAUUCGAUGAAGAAAUCUCCAUGGUGGACGGUGUCCGGAGGGUGGUUGCAAGGUGCAAAAGGUGCAAGAAGGAGUAUACCGGAGAAGCCAAGGGAGGAACCGGCCACCUGAAGAGGCAUGUGGAAAGCCACGCCAAGGCGGAUGAAAAGAGCGUGUCGGGCUCGGCAGUUGUGCAAACGCAGCUCUCCUUCAACCCUGACGCACAUAGUGGUCCAAACAUUGCUGAAGUUGUACUCAAAGUUGUGAACGAUUUUAAUCUUGCCGACAAGGUUUUCUCAAUAACUUUGGAUAAUGCUUCAGCAAAUACGAGUGCAAUGAAUACUCUCACUCCUAUGUUCUCCAUAUAUGCUGCAUCCUUUUUAAUGCAUCAACGUUGUGCUUGCCAUAUCAUUAAUCUUAUUGCUAAAAUUACUUUGUCUGGGGUUUAUUACCCGACAUCUCCUUUGAUGGUGCAUACCCUAUUAGACAUUGCUUGUUAUCUGAAAGCAUAUGAAGGGGAUGCAUUGUUACUUAAUGUUGUUGCUGACAUGAAAACCAAAGCUAAACUUGAAGGGUAUCGUAGUGCACUCAAUGUACUAUCUGCAUCCCUAAGUUUAGAUUAUACUGAUGACUUCAAUAAGGCUCGUGAGAAGCUUUUUGAAGUUUUUGCUAAGUAUGAGGAAAAAUAUGUCGGAGUUCGAAUGCAACGACCUCCACCAGCACCUACUGCAGGUAAAAAGAGAGGAGCGUGGAGCAAGAUCUUUGGUUCUUCAUCCUCCUCGACCGCUGGAAGCUCUUCCACGUCAACAUAUGUGCUUCAAGGUGGCGGGGAGUUAGCGAAGUACCUCAACAGUGACAAAGUCAUGUACGAUUUAGACAGUGAGGAAGACUUCAACUUACUACAGUGGUGGCAAGAACACAAGCUUACAUUUCCGGUGCUCUCCAUAUUAGCACGUGAUGUGUUAUCGGUGCCUGUUUCUACGGUGUCAUCGGAGUCUGCUUUCAGCCUUGCUGGAAGAAUAAUUGAGGAGAGAAGAACUAGUCUCGCCCCUGAUAUGGUGAGAACACUAAUGUCCGUCAAAGAUGGGGAGUUAUCAAGAAGGAGAGCACAACACACUGCAGAAAACACAGAACUACUUGCCAUGUUUGAAGAAAUGAACUUUGAAGAAGACCCGGAAGAUUAG
This 1599-nucleotide ribosomal RNA is filed under the name Triticum aestivum (bread wheat). Its description in RNAcentral is "partial small subunit ribosomal RNA". The record is from RNAcentral. Lineage: Eukaryota; Viridiplantae; Streptophyta; Magnoliopsida; Poales; Poaceae.